GAAGAUGCUGCACUUCCUCCUCUGCGUCCAGGAAAAAAUAUUGGUUACUGAUGAGGGAGAAAUUCUAAUUAUCUGCUUUUUCUGGCUCCUGUUCUUUCUUGAGGUUUUCUUGGCAAUGAUAAUGUCUUUAUUAAUUAAUUAACAAUUCUUUUGCAGGCAUGACAAAAUGCAUCAAGCAGAGUAGCAGAUGAGCGUUUUGCAUGAGCAUGAAGUCAUUGUACCAUAAUUGUUUGUUUGGUGGUGACUAGCAGCCUAAAUUUUGUAAGUUGGGUCUUUGUUGGUCUGUUUUGUUAGUUCCAAUUUGGACAUUCAGGCUGCUAAAGUUUCACAUAUUUGAAAUAUGUAGGA
This 348-nucleotide long non-coding RNA is filed under the name Nicotiana tabacum (common tobacco). RNAcentral's name for it is "long non-coding RNA (NTAB_LNC004789)". Lineage: Eukaryota; Viridiplantae; Streptophyta; Magnoliopsida; Solanales; Solanaceae. The record is from RNAcentral.